CCUACGGGAGGCUGCAGUGGGGAAUAUUGCACAAUGGGGGAAACCCUGAUGCAGCGACGCCGCGUGAGUGAAGAAGUAUUUCGGUACGUAAAGCUCUAUCAGCAGGGAAGAAAAUGACGGUACCUGACUAAGAAGCCCCGGCUAACUACGUGCCAGCAGCCGCGGUAAUACGUAGGGGGCAAGCGUUAUCCGGAUUUACUGGGUGUAAAGGGAGCGUAGACGGCAGCGCAAGUCUGGAGUGAAAUCCCAUGGCUUAACCAUGGAACUGCUUUGGAAACUGUGCAGCUAGAGUGCAGGAGAGGUAAGCGGAAUUCCUGGUGUAGCGGUGAAAUGCGUAGAUAUUAGGAGGAACACCAGUGGCGAAGGCGGCUUACUCGACUGUAACUGACGUUGAGGCUCGAAAGCGUGGGGAGCAAACAGGAUUAGAUACCCGAGUAGUC
This 440-nucleotide ribosomal RNA is filed under the name uncultured bacterium. RNAcentral describes it as "partial 16S ribosomal RNA". It matches the Rfam family "Bacterial small subunit ribosomal RNA", at positions 338 to 795 of the family's 1533-position model. The record is from RNAcentral.